CAAAGAAUAGUUUAAUUAGAAUGAGAGCUUUGGGAGUUUUCGGCAGGGGUGAAAAUCCCUUUUCUUUGA
Molecule: transfer RNA, 69 nt
Filed under: Gnathodentex aureolineatus (striped large-eye bream)
Lineage: Eukaryota; Metazoa; Chordata; Actinopteri; Spariformes; Lethrinidae
Description: tRNA-Pro
Rfam family: tRNA
About the family: Transfer RNA (tRNA) molecules are approximately 80 nucleotides in length.
Source: RNAcentral